UUUUUUUUUUUUUUUCCUUUUGAGGGCCAGCUGCAGGUGAAGCAUAUGGAAGUUCCUGCAUCUUCAGGCCUGUGCCACAGCCACAGCAAUAUCAGAUGUGAGCCUCAUUUGUGACCUACACUACAGCUCACGGCAAUGCUGGAUCCUUAAUCCACUGAGCAAGGCCAGGGUUUGAAUCCGAAUCCUCACGGAUACUUUGUCAGGUUCUUAACCUGCUGAGCCACAAAGGGAGCUCCAGACUCUGCGUACUAUUGAAUUGUCAUUUACAACUACCAAAUUCAGUGGAUGUUUAUCAAGCCUUAUCUUAUUUAAUCUCUUCACAGCAGUUAACAGUAUUGGUCACUUUCCUUUAAACUUCCUUUUCUCUAGGCUUCCUCAACAUCAAUUCAUCCAUGUUUAUUCCUAUGUCUAAAAAUUUACUUUCUCAUCUACUUUCUCAUUAAAUUUUGGAACAGCUCUCCUUUGCCCUCUUUUCAUGUAGCGUGAUCUAGCAACCUUAAUGACUCUUCAACUAUAUUGUGGUAAAAAACUUGGUUUCUCAUUGGACUGUGUCCCUUCCUGGCUGUUUGGUUUUCUCAAACAAUAACUAAUUCUCCAAUUUUCCAGUACCAACUGGGUGUUCUAUAAUUUAAUUCAAUUAUGACUUCAACUAUUUGGAUUCAGCACAGACCCUGGAUUAAGGGCUCAAUCCCACAAAACUGCCCCCACUUCUGAUGCCAACAACUGGAAGUAUGGCAUUUCCCCAUGAGUGGGAUGGGGCAGACAGUAAGGGAGGCAAGUUUAGGGGAGAAGAUCAGGAGUUCAGCUAGAGGUCUAAUCGGAGCUGUAGCUGCCAGCCUAUACCAGAGCCACAGCAACACCAGAUCCGAGCUGUGUCUGUGACCUACACAACAGCUCAUGGCAAUGCCGGAUCCUUAAGCCAUUGAGUAAGGCCAGGGAUCGAACCCACAACCUCAUGGUUCCUAGUUGGAUUUGUUUCCACUGCACCACGACAGGAACUCCAAGCAUUUUUAUUAAUUGAAAGAUACCAGGGAGAAUAAAGAGGAAAGCCUCAGAGUGGGAGAAGGUGUUUGCAAAUUCACAUCUGAUGAACGAUGUUAAAUAUAAAGAACUCCUACACAGCAAUAAGGAAAAGUCUAACAACAAUAACAACCGCAGUAGGACACACAGAUACAUAAGACUUGAUAAGAUGUAUCAAAACAUGAGGAUAUCCAAAUGGUAAGCAAAUAAAAGGAUAGCCAGCUUUCUUAGUCAUUAGGGAAAUGCAGAUUAACCAAAACACACCUAUCAAAAUAGCUACUAAAAAAAAAAAAACCCUUAUAAUGCCACAUUUUGAUAAAGAAGUGGACCAGUUGGAAUCAAGAGUUUAAAUUGACAAAACCAUUUAGGAAAACUGACCGUAUCUACUACGGCUUAACGUAUACAUUCCCCAUGACCCAGCAAUUACCCUCCUAGGUUAUAUACCCAACAAAAGUGAGUGAAAGAGACAAGGAAAAGAAUGUCCAUAGUAGCUUCUUUUUAAAAUAAUAUUGUUGAAGUGGAAGCAAUUCAAAUAACCACCAGCAGUAGACUGGAUAAGUUGUGGUAAACUCAAAUAGUGUCUUUACUGAAAUGAUAAAGAAGAGACUAUGACCCACUCAACAGCCUGGUCAACCUCACAAAUAUAGUCCUAAGAGAAAAAAGCUAGGCAGACAAAGAUAUGUUUAAGUUUCAUUUAUAGGACCUUUGAAAAUAGGCAGAACUAAUUUGAAAGAAUAGAACUUAAGAUGGUGCUACUUUUGAGGAGGUAAUACCCCUGUUAACAAGGAGAGGGCACAAGGCAGUCUACAAGGAUGCUGGUAACGUUGCGCUUCCUAAAAUGAGCGGUGGUCACAUGGAUAUAUCCGUUUGUAUCAACCCAUUGAGCUGAACUUAAGGUUUACAUCAAGUUCUUAAUGUCUUGUGGUUCAUUUUGAAAUAAAAGGUUAGAGUUUUGAUCUGUUUUGUGGUCACGUCUUUCUGGCAUGCCAUGUUGUUUAUAGGGAUGUUAUCUGUUCCUUACUCUCUUUUUGUUUGUUUGUGUCUUUUUAGGGCUGUACUCAGCACAUGGAAAUUUCCAGGCUUGGGGUCGAAUUGGAGCUGCAGCUGCCGGGCCCACAUCAGAGCCACAGCAACUCAGAAUCCUAGUCGAGCCGUGUCUGCCACCUACACCAACCUACACUGAGUAAGGCCAGGGAUUGAACCUGCAUCCUCAUGGAUACUAGUCAGAUUCUUAACCCACUGAGCCAUAAUGGGAAUUCUCUUCCUCUCUUUCUCUCUCUCUCUCUCUCUUUUUAACAUAACAACUUAGGAUUCUGCCUAAAUCCUUUUUUUGUUGCUAAUUUUCAUGAAUGUUUAUAGGGUUUAGUUCUGCUUUCAGUUGCUUGUCUGCUUUUAUGUGAUAAUUCAGAGAGAUUGAAAAGCUGUACUGCUGCCACUGCUGCCACCACCUUCUCAGAAUCUCCCAUGUGUGUACUUUCCUGUGUAUAUGUUUUAAAUAGACUUUAUUUUAAAAUUAUUUUCAUAUUCUUUUCCAUUAUCGUUUAUCACAAGAUAUUGAAUAUAGUUCCCUGUGCUAUGCAAUAGGACCUUGUUGUUUAUACAUUCUGUAUAUAAUCGUUUGCAUUUGCUAGUCCCAGACCCUGACCAAUCUAAUCUUCCUUUACCUCCUCCCCCUUGGCAACUACAAAUCUGUUUUCUAUGUCUAUGAAUCUGUUUUGGUUUUGUAGAUAAGUUCAUUUGUGUCAUAUUUUAUUUUAUUUUAUUUUUUUAGGGCCACACCCGCAGCAUAUGGAAGUUCCCAGCUAGGGGCAAGGCCAGGGAUCAAACCUGCAUCCUCAUGGAUGCUAGUCAGAUUUGUUAACCACUGAGCCACGAUGGGAACUCCUUAUUUGUGUCAUAUUUUGGAUUCCACAUAUGAUAUAUGGUAUUUGUCUUUUUCUUUCUGACUAACUUCACUUAGUGUGAUAAGGUCCAAACAUCUUGCUGCAAGUGGCAUUAUUUCAUUCUUUUUUAAGGCUGAGUAGUAUUCCAUCAUGUAUGUACUGCAUCUUUAUCCAUCUGUCACUGGACGUUUAGGUUGUUUCAAUGUCUUGGCUAUCGUAAAUAGUGCUGUCAUGAAUAUAGGGAUGCAUAUAUCCUUUUGAAUUAUAGUUUUGUCUGGAUAUAUGCCCAGGAGUGGGAUUGCUGGAUCAUAUGGGAACUCUACUUUUAGUUUUUAUGAGGAAACUUCAUACUGUUCUACAUAAUGGCUGCACCAAUUUACAUUCUCACCAACAGUGUAGGAGGGUUCCCUUUUCUCCACGCCCUCUCCAGCAUUUGUUAUUUGUUGACCUGUUAAUGAUAGCCAUUCUGUUCUGACCAGAUAGCCAUUCUGACCAGUGUGAGAUGAUAACUCAUUGUAGUUUUGAUUUGCUUUUCUCUAAUAAUUAGUGAUAUUGAGCAUCUUUUCAUGUGCUUGUUGCCCAUCUGUAUGUCUUCUUUGGAGAAAUGUCUAUAUAGGUCUUCUGCCUAUUUCCUGACUGGGUUUUUUUCAUUUGUUUGUUAUUGAGUUGUAUGAGCUGUUCAUAAUUUUUAAAAACUAAGCUCUUGUCAGUCACAUCAUUUGCAAAUAUUUUCUCCUGGUCUGUAGUUUGUCUUUUCGUUUUGUUUAUGGUUCCUUUGCUGUACAAAAACUUGUAAGUUUGAUUAGGUCCCGUUUGUUUAUUUAUUUAUUUUUAUUUCUAUUGCCUCUGUAGACUGACCUAACAAAAUAUUGGCACUGAGGAUUUGGGGUGGAAAUGCUGUAAAAUUUGGUUGUGAUGAUUGUGGUACACCUGUAAAUAUAAUAAAAUUCAUUAAGUAAUUUAAAAAAUAGCCAAAAUAGUAUGUAUUAGUUUCCUAUUGAUGUUAUAGCAGAUUACCACAGACUUAGUGGCUUAAAAUGACACGAAUUUAUUAUCUUAUAGUUCUAGAGGACAGAACUUUGAAAUGGGUCUCAUGGGGCUAAAAUCUGAGAUGUCAACAGGGGUGGAGGUUUGGGGAGAGCCUGUGUCCUUGCCUUUUCCAGCCUCUAGAGGGUGCCCUCAUCCCUUGGAUUGGGGCCCUCAGCCGGCAAUUUAUCGUUUCAGUCUUUAAUCUCAAACUCCUUGGACUCUUCUGCCUGCCUCUUUCAUACUUAAGGACCGUUGUGAUUACACUGAGCUCACCCAGACAAUCCAGGCAAAUCCCCUCAUUUCAAGCUCCCUAACACAAGCACAUCUGGCAGAGUACCUUUUGCCAUGUGAGGUGACAUAUUCAUAACCUCUGGGGACUAGAUGUAGACAUAUGCCAGCACCCACUCUUCUGCCCGCCACAGAUAUGUUUAGAUAAUUAUCCUUUUCCUCUGUUACUUUUUACAAAUUGAAGCAUAGUUGCCUUACAAUGUUAUGUUAGCGUCAGGUAUACAACAUAGUGGUUGAUAUUUUCACAGAUUAUACUCAGUUUAAUUCUUCCAUUUAUAUUUAUCCUGCAUCUUCUCGUCAGUAGGUAAAAUUUUUGGCUAUUAGAGACAUCCUUUGACUAAUUAGGAAGAUUUUAUAUGUCAUUAUUUCCUAAUAUACUUUUAGGCUAAUUUCCCUCAAUAAGCUAAUAUACCAAAUAGCUCAAUACCUAAUAGCUCGUACCUUUAACUGAUGACCACUGUCUUAUUAGGGGCUUGGAAGAACUUCAAAACUUAGUCUGCUGGGCCUUACACAGGGCAAGAUUGCUCCAUUAUUAAACCCUUUUGAUUUCCAAAUUGGGUAUAAAAGACCCAAUGAGGUAUAUAAAAUGAGAUCCUGGGACUCUUUCCUCUUCUGUAAAAAGAGGGGUAAGAUGCUUUUCUCACCUUUCUCCAGUUCUUACAUCCAUGGAGGGACUAAAUGUGCUAGAGGAUGACAGCGUUUAUUUAGCGAUUCAAACUCGCUCAGAAAUUACCACCAGGAAUAGCCAUCCUAGCGAGCUGUCCUUGAAGCCUGGACAGCAGUGCUUAUCACCAUCAAAUCUUAUGGAAUAGCAGAGCGAGUAGAUUUUGAAUUGUUGUUUUUUGGGUACUCUGCCAGUGGCUGUACAGCAGACUCAUGGAGAGUGCUAAUGAGCAGUGUCUCUGUCCUCCUCUCUGUGAGGUUAAUGUUGGAGAAAGCAGGUUCCAAGUCAUAGA
RNAcentral lists this long non-coding RNA (5176 nucleotides) under Sus scrofa (pig). Its description in RNAcentral is "lncRNA (ENSSSCG00040073789.1)". Lineage: Eukaryota; Metazoa; Chordata; Mammalia; Artiodactyla; Suidae. The record is from RNAcentral.